CCUACGGGAGGCAGCAGUGAGGAAUAUUGGUCAAUGGCCGGAAGGCUGAACCAGCCAUGCCGCGUGAAGGUCAGUGCCCUAUGGGCGUUAAACUUCUUUUGUGCGGGAGCAAUAAUGGUCACGUGUGGCCAGACGAGAGUACCGUACGAAUAAGCAUCGGCUAACUCCGUGCCAGCAGCCGCGGUAAUACGGGGGAUGCAAGCGUUAUCCGGAUUUAUUGGGUUUAAAGGGAGCGUAGAUGGGUUGUUAAGUCAGUUGUGAAAGUUUGCGGCUCAACCGUAAAAUUGCAAUUGAUACUGGCAGUCUUGAGUACAGUUGAGGUAGGCGGAAUUCGUGGUGUAGCGGUGAAAUGCUUAGAUAUCACGAAGAACUCCGAUUGCGAAGGCAGCUUACUAAACUGCCACUGACAUUGAUGCUCGAAAGUGUGGGUAUCAAACAGGAUUAGAUACCCCUGUAGUC
RNAcentral lists this ribosomal RNA (459 nucleotides) under uncultured bacterium. Its description in RNAcentral is "partial 16S ribosomal RNA". It matches the Rfam family "Bacterial small subunit ribosomal RNA", at positions 338 to 795 of the family's 1533-position model. The record is from RNAcentral.